GGGCUCGUAGCUCAGCUUGGUUAGAGCAUCUGAAAAAUUGAUGAAACUCUUAAUCAGGUGGUCGCGGGUUCAAAUCCCGUCGGGCUCA
Molecule: transfer RNA, 88 nt
Filed under: archaeon
Lineage: Archaea
Description: tRNA-OTHER
Rfam family: tRNA
About the family: Transfer RNA (tRNA) molecules are approximately 80 nucleotides in length.
Source: RNAcentral